Molecule: ribosomal RNA, 274 nt
Filed under: uncultured bacterium
Lineage: Bacteria
Description: partial 16S ribosomal RNA
Rfam family: Bacterial small subunit ribosomal RNA
Source: RNAcentral
AUACGGAGGGUGCAAGCGUUAAUCGGAAUUACUGGGCGUAAAGCGCGCGUAGGCGGAUUAGUAAGUCGGAUGCGAAAGCCCUGGGCUCAACCUGGGAAUUGCAUUCGAUACUGCUUGACUAGAGUAUGGUAGAGGGAAGUGGAAUUUCCGGUGUAGCGGUGAAAUGCGUAGAUAUCGGAAGGAACACCAGUGGCGAAGGCGACUUCCUGGGCCAAUACUGACGCUGAGGUGCGAAAGCUAGGGUAGCGAACGGGAUUAGAAACCCCAGUAGUCC